Molecule: transfer RNA, 74 nt
Filed under: Dallia pectoralis (Alaska blackfish)
Lineage: Eukaryota; Metazoa; Chordata; Actinopteri; Esociformes; Umbridae
Description: tRNA-OTHER
Source: RNAcentral
AUCUGUUUGGAGUUGUGGUUAGUGCGCUCGGCUGUGGAACCGGGCGACGCCGGUUCGAUUCCCCCUACCAGAGG